CCUACGGGGGGCAGCAGUGGGGAAUAUUGGACAAUGGGCGAAAGCCUGAUCCAGCCAUGCCGCGUGUGUGAAGAAGGCCUUCGGGUUGUAAAGCACUUUCAGUGGGAAGAAAGCCUUGGGGCUAAUACCCUCGAGGAAGGACAUCACCCACAGAAGAAGCACCGGCUAACUCCGUGCCAGCAGCCGCGGUAAUACGGAGGGUGCGAGCGUUAAUCGGAAUUACUGGGCGUAAAGCGCGCGUAGGCGGUCUGAUAAGCCGGUUGUGAAAGCCCCGGGCUCAACCUGGGAACGGCAUCCGGAACUGUCAGGCUAGAGUGCAGGAGAGGAAGGUAGAAUUCCCGGUGUAGCGGUGAAAUGCGUAGAGAUCGGGAGGAAUACCAGUGGCGAAGGCGGCCUUCUGGACUGACACUGACGCUGAGGUGCGAAAGCGUGGGUAGCAAACAGGAUUAGAUACCCUGGUAGUC
RNAcentral lists this ribosomal RNA (464 nucleotides) under Vreelandella stevensii. RNAcentral's name for it is "partial 16S ribosomal RNA". It matches the Rfam family "Bacterial small subunit ribosomal RNA", at positions 338 to 795 of the family's 1533-position model. The record is from RNAcentral. Lineage: Bacteria; Pseudomonadati; Pseudomonadota; Gammaproteobacteria; Oceanospirillales; Halomonadaceae.